This 818-nucleotide long non-coding RNA is filed under the name Triticum aestivum (bread wheat). RNAcentral describes it as "long non-coding RNA (TAES_LNC025879)". Lineage: Eukaryota; Viridiplantae; Streptophyta; Magnoliopsida; Poales; Poaceae. The record is from RNAcentral.
GUGGAUAGGUAAUUUGCAUCAGAGGUCUAUAGGAUCUCCGCCAUUAGUUUCCCAUUAGAAAAUUGAGUUACUAAAUUAAGGAAGAUGUCCAAAGAGAGGUAAUCGAUGGCAUGAUAUGCAUCAGAAGAUCCUCAUCACUAAAGUAGUACUCCACCAGUCCACCUACAGUUUUGGAACAUAUAAACACGGCAUCAAAGUGCUACCUGGCACCAAAUGAAGAGUUCAGGUCAGGGUGUUAUACUGCAGCUAAGCAGUAUAGUCUGAAUUUCUAAGUUUGAGGAGGAUUUCAGUGUUUCUAAAGAAAGGGACAAGGAUCAGGGCUAUAAGAUUGUUGAAAGACUCAGAGACAUGUACCAUGAAUCGGGUACAAUAUGCUUUCUACCCGUCUUUUCCUUAUAUUGACUAAACUUUAGUAAAUAACUAUUUCCAGUUUUCUCAUGUAACUUGAACUGCUGCUGGUUUAAAUUUCAGUUCCGUAAGCUGCGGCACACAUGGUCUGCCUCCGUGUCGUCCUACCUGCUUCAGGGCCCUCUACUUCUUCCCCCAAGAUUGCCAUUAUGAUUAACAAAUCUGACGAGAGCAAUUUAAUUGGUGACACAUCAUAUUUAUUCUGCAACUGCAUGUGAAUUCUCAUCUUGCGCCUACCUCUUUUGCUUACCAGGUUGCAAAAUUUCAUUAACUUAUUUGUCGAAGUAUCCUGCAAAAUCAUUUCUCUUAUGGAAAUUAGCCUAUUGUAUUAAUCUAACAAGGUCCACUUCAACCUACGUAACAAUUAUGAAGUGAAGAUGGAGAGCUUUAGGCAAAAAAAGAAAAAAAAC